This 254-nucleotide ribosomal RNA is filed under the name uncultured bacterium. RNAcentral's name for it is "partial 16S ribosomal RNA". It matches the Rfam family "Bacterial small subunit ribosomal RNA", at positions 524 to 776 of the family's 1533-position model. The record is from RNAcentral.
CACGUAGGGGGCAAGCGUUGUCCGGAUUUAUUGGGCGUAAAGAGCUCGUAGGCGGUUCGGUAAGUCGGGUGUGAAACCUCCAGGCUCAACCUGGAGACGCCACCCGAUACUGCUGUGGCUAGAGUCCGGUAGGGGAGCGUGGAAUUCCUGGUGUAGCGGUGAAAUGCGCAGAUAUCAGGAGGAACACCAGCGGCGAAGGCGGCGCUCUGGGCCGGUACUGACGCUGAGGAGCGAAAGCGUGGGGAGCAAACAGG